CCAGACUCAGUCUGACUGCUCUUUAUCUGAUCAGCUGUCAUACCAGAAACAAAGUGUACAACUACAGAUGAGUUAAAAGGACCCUUUCUGUUGCAGCAGCAUGUUAAGCUGAGUAAGAACUGAUGCCUCUCCCAUUGGGGUCUGUCUCUCUUAUCCAGCCAGAAGGAUCACUUUUAAGUUUCAUGAGUGAAGGAGCGAAACAAGUUUGCAGCAGUUCUGGGGACACAGCAUCUUGGGAAAAGCAGGGUUAUGAGAAACUAUUGGCAGGCUGAAAUUGUUCAAACACAGCUGUCUUUGCUAGAGUUCUGAAAGGGAUGUUACACCUGUGAAUUGUAAAAUUUGCUGCUGAUGUUGCUAUCAAGACACCUGCUCAGGCAUACAAAUAAUUGUGAAUAAAUCAACCCUGGGAAUUCAA
This is a long non-coding RNA of Parus major (Great Tit), 415 nucleotides long. RefSeq lists it as uncharacterized. The transcript has 3 exons. The record is from RefSeq and is a predicted model, not a curated record. NCBI's taxonomy places the organism in Eukaryota, Metazoa, Chordata, Aves, Passeriformes, Paridae.